AUACGUAGGGGGCGAGCGUUGUCCGGAAUGAUUGGGCGUAAAGGGCGCGUAGGCGGCGCGGUAAGUCUGGAGUGAAAGUCCUGCUUUCAAGGUGGGAAUUGCUUUGGAUACUGCCGCGCUUGAGUGCAGGAGAGGUUAUCCGAAUUCCCGGUGUAGCGGUGAAAUGCGUAGAGAUCGGGAGGAACACCAGUGGCGAAGGCGGGUAACUGGACUGCAACUGACGCUGAGGCGCGAAAGUGUGGGGAGCAAACAGGAUUAGAUACCCUGGUAGUCCACACUGUAAACGAUGAAUGCUAGGUGUAAGAGGUAUCGACCCCUUUUGUGCCGGAGUCAACACAAUAAGCAUUCCGCCUGGGGAGUACGGCCGCAAGGUUGAAACUCAAAUGAAUUGACGGGG
RNAcentral lists this ribosomal RNA (397 nucleotides) under uncultured bacterium. RNAcentral's name for it is "partial 16S ribosomal RNA". It matches the Rfam family "Bacterial small subunit ribosomal RNA", at positions 523 to 918 of the family's 1533-position model. The record is from RNAcentral.